CUCUUUCACAUCACAAUUGCAAUGAAAAAUCUGGCUGUCAGAGCACCCGGCGUUGCAUCGUCCUGCGAGGACUGCCAAAAAUACCACCGUUACCGGACGUUCAGAUUGCUCCUUGAGCAGGUGAAUAUUUUGAUGCGCUUUGCCCUGCUCGUUGCAUCGAUGCUGUGCGGCCUCGCGCCUGCGCCCGCUCAUGCCGCACAAACCAUCCGGCUCGCACAGGCCGCGCCCCCGCAACCGGCAAGCCCCGCACCGGCGCCA
RNAcentral lists this unclassified non-coding RNA (258 nucleotides) under Hevea brasiliensis (rubber tree). The record is from RNAcentral. Lineage: Eukaryota; Viridiplantae; Streptophyta; Magnoliopsida; Malpighiales; Euphorbiaceae.